CAGAGAAUAGUUUAUAUAAAAUAAUAAUUUUGGGGAUUAUAGAAAGGAGGAAUUCUUUUCUCUGA
RNAcentral lists this transfer RNA (65 nucleotides) under Neoneuromus vanderweelei. RNAcentral's name for it is "tRNA-Pro". The record is from RNAcentral. Lineage: Eukaryota; Metazoa; Arthropoda; Insecta; Megaloptera; Corydalidae.